Molecule: ribosomal RNA, 556 nt
Filed under: uncultured bacterium
Lineage: Bacteria
Description: partial 16S ribosomal RNA
Rfam family: Bacterial small subunit ribosomal RNA
Source: RNAcentral
UAGGGAAUCUUCCACAAUGGACGCAAGUCUGAUGGAGCAACGCCGCGUGAGUGAAGAAGGUCUUCGGAUCGUAAAGCUCUGUUGUUGGUGAAGAAGGAUAGAGGCAGUAACUGGUCUUUAUUUGACGGUAAUCAACCAGAAAGUCACGGCUAACUACGUGCCAGCAGCCGCGGUAAUACGUAGGUGGCAAGCGUUGUCCGGAUUUAUUGGGCGUAAAGCGAGCGCAGGCGGAAUGAUAAGUCUGAUGUGAAAGCCCACGGCUCAACCGUGGAACUGCAUCGGAAACUGUCAUUCUUGAGUGCAGAAGAGGAGAGUGGAACUCCAUGUGUAGCGGUGGAAUGCGUAGAUAUAUGGAAGAACACCAGUGGCGAAGGCGGCUCUCUGGUCUGCAAACUGACGCUGAGGCUCGAAAGCAUGGGUAGCGAACAGGAUUAGAUACCCUGGUAGUCCAUGCCGUAAACGAUGAGCGCUAGGUGUUGGGGACUUUCCGGUCCUCAGUGCCGCAGCAAAUCGCAUUAAGCGCUCCGCCUGGGGAGUACGACCGCAAGGUUGAAAC